This 550-nucleotide ribosomal RNA is filed under the name uncultured bacterium. RNAcentral's name for it is "bacterial SSU rRNA". It matches the Rfam family "Bacterial small subunit ribosomal RNA", at positions 355 to 896 of the family's 1533-position model. The record is from RNAcentral.
UGGGGAAUUUUGGGCAAUGGGGGCAACCCUGAUCCAGCCAUGCCGCGUGAGUGAAGAAGGCCUUCGGGUUGUAAAGCUCUUUCGGACGGAAAGAAACGGUUACGGUUAAUACCCGUGACUAAUGACGGUACCGUAAGAAGAAGCACCGGCUAACUACGUGCCAGCAGCCGCGGUAAUACGUAGGGUGCGAGCGUUAAUCGGAAUUACUGGGCGUAAAGCGUGCGCAGGCGGUUUCGUAAGACAGACGUGAAAUCCCCGGGCUUAACCUGGGAACUGCGUUUGUGACUGCGAGACUAGAGUGUAGCAGAGGGGGGUAGAAUUCCACGUGUAGCAGUGAAAUGCGUAGAUAUGUGGAGGAAUACCGAUGGCGAAGGCAGCCCCCUGGGCUAACACUGACGCUCAUGCACGAAAGCGUGGGGAGCAAACAGGAUUAGAUACCCUGGUAGUCCACGCCCUAAACGAUGUCAACUAGGUGUUGGGGAAGGAGACUUCUUUAGUACCGCAGCUAACGCGUGAAGUUGACCGCCUGGGGAGUACGGUCGCAAGAUUA